RNAcentral lists this long non-coding RNA (1717 nucleotides) under Nicotiana benthamiana. RNAcentral describes it as "long non-coding RNA (NBEN_LNC025814)". The record is from RNAcentral. Lineage: Eukaryota; Viridiplantae; Streptophyta; Magnoliopsida; Solanales; Solanaceae.
UCUUCAUCCUUCAGCCCUCAUUAGCUCUAUUGUUCCUCUCUGAAAUCUGAAGAAGCUUUUAGAAUUUGAAUUUCAAAAACAAAGGAAAACCAAAAACCAAAAAAAAUGAUAUAGAAGGCUACUGUUUCAUUAAAGUUCAUCCUAUUAUGACUGGUUGCUGAAAUUACAGUGACUUUAUUAGUGUGAUUUCAAUUUUUUGAGGUCAGCUGCGGAGUACUAAUCCUUUUGAUGGUUAUUUUAUUAGAUCCUGAGUUUCAAGCUGAGUGUUGGGGUCUAAAUUGCUCCUGUUGGUUGUUUGUUGAGUUAUUACUGCUCGAAAUUGGUCAUUUGGGUUGUAUUGAAGGUUAUUCAAAUCCUUGAAUUCCCUCUGGCUUGCUGCUGUUGCAUUGAUUUGCUGACCUCUUCCUCCUUUCUCUUAUUUUGCUCAAAAUUACCAGGUACACCCCUUUUGUACGGACUUGCAAUUGGAAUGAAAAAUGGAGAUUUGAGCCUGCUGUGCUUAAAUUACCAGGUACACCCCUUUUUGCAUUGAUUUGCUGACCUCUUCCUCCUUUCUCUUAUUUUGCUCAAAAUUACCAGGUACACCCCUUUGUACGCACUUGCAAUUGGAAUGAAAAAUGAAGAUUUGAGCCUGCUGUUGCAUUGUUAUUUAUAUCUAUUUGGUUUAUCUAUUUAUAAUUGUAGUAGAUUAGGGGUUAUUUGAGAAGUUAUACUCAAUUAACGUAAAUUCCUUGUAGCUAGACUGAAAUUAAAUUGUGGUAGUUAGAAUGAGUUUGUGGGUUUGUUUAAUUAGUUUCAACUUUUCUGUUUUGAAAAAUGAAGUGAUUUGGAGUGGCUGAAGUCAUUUUCAUUUGUAAUGGUUUGCUAGGUCUAUAAUGCUAUUGGUAUUUGCUGGUCUAUUCUAUUGAAAGUUCGAAAUCCACUCUCAAUUUUAUAUCAAUAAAUCCUGGUGCUCCAAAUAAUUGCAAUAGGCCCUCUGUGAAUUUAAUGCUUCUGGUAGUGUAAGGGCUUGGUAUUAGGGGAUUUGUCUGAUUAGCUUAAGCUGGAAAUAAAAUUUGUAUUGAUCAACUGACUUUGGAUUUUAACCUUCAAUUAGUUAGACUGUUUCUUUUGGUGUAUUAAAACUCAGGUAUUGAUAAGUUGCAGAGUAUGAAUUUACUACUUGAAAUCCAUGCUAGUUGAAAACAAAGGUAAUUCAGGGAUUUAUAAAGAAAAAGAGUUUCAAUUGUCUAUAUGACCCUGCUCCCGUUCUUUGAUCAGUUUCUUUAUGGCGUUUUCUCAUGUGAAAGUAGUCUUCAAUAUUAGUUAUUAUUUGUAUGGAAAUUUAAUGGGAAUUUGAGCUCAAGACGUGAAAGUUGGGCCAAUGGUCGGCGUCAAGGCUCAAGGACUCCUCAUUCAGAGACAAGAUCAACAAAUAAAUUCAAGCUUUGUCUCUAUCAGGGAUUUGAUCCCACGAAGAGCAGUGGCUGUUGCCCUGAAUCUUUCCGCCCUGUUGGGCCUCAUUAAGUGGCCGAAUUCGAUUGUUGAGUUGGACUGCUAAGUGCAAUUCCUACUUUUGCCUAAUAACUAAAUUCACGUAGUUAAAUUUUCUUUUUUGUAGAGAUGCUUAAUCAAACAAAAAUUGUAGUCACUUUUUUUUAGGAUUGACCUUUUAAUAAAUGUUGAGACGAGCCUCACAAAAAAAACAAAUGCGGGGCCCUUGAUAAAUAAUUACUAG